RNAcentral lists this unclassified non-coding RNA (318 nucleotides) under Hevea brasiliensis (rubber tree). The record is from RNAcentral. Lineage: Eukaryota; Viridiplantae; Streptophyta; Magnoliopsida; Malpighiales; Euphorbiaceae.
AUGGGCGCAUUUAUAAACAAAAGAGUUGGCACUGAUGACGAUAUUACCUAAACUAUAAACCAGGGAGUGUGUAUAUAUAUAUUCCACAAAGAUUGGAGGAUCUGAGAGCUCCAAAUGAAUUAGCUGUGUUCUUGCGUCGUGCUUACUCGAUCAUACCAUUCUGGACUCAGGAAUCGCACAAUUGAACAAAUGCUGCAACUGUUGCAACACUUGAGAAAUACAUUAGCUUCAGGAAAUGCCGGUACUGUUAUCUAUAGGAUGUUCUCCUGCUCUUUAUUCUCAGUUUUUGUAAUCCACAUCCUUCGGAUGGGAUCAAAG